AGUCGAACGGAAGUCGUUGUAAUGAAAUGGAAAUGGACAGAGAACUUGUUCGAAGAAAGUUGAAGUAGACUUACAACAAUGGCUUUAGUGGCGGACUGGUGAGUAACGCGUAAGGAACCUGCCUUUUAGAGGGGAAUAACAAUGAGAAAUCAUUGCUAAUACCGCAUAUGCCGAGAGAAUCACAUGGUACAAUCGGGAAAGGAGCAAUCCGCUAAAAGAUGGCCUUGCGUCUGAUUAGAUAGUUGGUGGGGUAACGGCCUACCAAGUCGACGAUCAGUAGCCGAACUGAGAGGUUGAACGGCCACAUUGGGACUGAGAUACGGCCCAGACUCCUACGGGAGGCAGCAGUCGGGAAUAUUGCGCAAUGGAGGAAACUCUGACGCAGUGACGCCGCGUAUAGGAAGAAGGUUUUCGGAUUGUAAACUAUUGUCGUUAGGGAAGAGAAAGGACAGUACCUAAGGAGGAAGCUCCGGCUAACUACGUGCCAGCAGCCGCGGUAAUACGUAGGGAGCGAGCGUUAUCCGGAAUUAUUGGGUGUAAAGGGUGCGUAGACGGGAAGAUAAGUUAGUUGUGAAAUCCCUCGGCUUAACUGAGGAACUGCAACUAAAACUGUUUUUCUUGAGUGCAGGAGAGGUAAGUGGAAUUCCUAGUGUAGCGGUGAAAUGCGUAGAUAUUAGGAGGAACACCAGUGGCGAAGGCGACUUACUGG
RNAcentral lists this ribosomal RNA (709 nucleotides) under uncultured bacterium. RNAcentral's name for it is "bacterial SSU rRNA". It matches the Rfam family "Bacterial small subunit ribosomal RNA", at positions 60 to 732 of the family's 1533-position model. The record is from RNAcentral.